This 1018-nucleotide long non-coding RNA is filed under the name Equus caballus (horse). Its description in RNAcentral is "lncRNA (ENSECAG00000032651.3)". Lineage: Eukaryota; Metazoa; Chordata; Mammalia; Perissodactyla; Equidae. The record is from RNAcentral.
GAGAGAAAGUAUGUGAAGAGCUUAAUCCGCAGCGGGUCUAUCUGUGCGCGUGUGUGCGCAGAGCCUGGCCUCCCAGGGCCGGUCACCCCUGCGGCUCAGGGCUCUGUGUGUGUGUGUGUGCACUUGUGUGUGCACGUGCGUGUGCACGCCUGAGACCGUGGUGGGCGUGGAGUCCAGACAUGGCGGGGCUGCCUUCAGGGCGAGUCCUGGUCUCAGCGGGCGCUGCGGUGGGCUGUCCAGACACCUGAGAAAAGCUCGGCUCGCUAGAUCGCUAGAACGCCCGCCCCCCAGGCCACCUGCCCCGGCUCCAGGAGGGGCCGCCCCUUCCUUCCUCCUGGGGAUGCGGAGAACAACACAGCCACCCAGGAAACACGUGUGCGCUGGGCCAUGGGGGCGGCGGAGGUGCUUGGAGCGGGUGGUCGACGCACUUUUUCUAGAUCCAGCCCCAGAAGGAACGGGGGCCGCCCUUCCGGGCUCUGCAUGUGACAAUUGCCAAGGCCCCGAGGUGGCCAGGAGUCUGUGCGGGGAGAGGAUAUUGGAACUGGAACCGUGGAUCUGGGAACUGACCCUCAGCUUUAUCAGGUUCCCCUGACGGCUGAUCACCUUGAUUGAGUCAAAUGCCACCUAAAACCCCAAAUCUCUAAAUUAUGGGGAAGACCUGGCCAAGGAAAGCAAAACCCGGACAAUUCAAGGGACUCCCUUUUCCAGCGUCUCAGACAGCAAGGGGACUUCCAAAUCAAGGAUUUGAUAAGCACAGUUGAUGAUUAAACAGAACGAGCUGGCCACCGGGAGAGCUCUGACUUGCUCCGACAAAGGCCCUUUGAGCUUGGUGGAAAACCAGAAUCUCUUUUUCUGUUGUUGUUUGUCUCAGCCUUUUCUGUGGGGGACCUGGAUUCAAGUCUUGAAAGCACUGAGGUUUGCGGGAAGGUUCUGUCAGUUGGGGCAUCUGUCCUUGGUGUUAAUUGCCGAGGGGUCUAAAUGAAACGGUCACCCGACCAGCCAAGGACACUUUUGGAAA